AAUUUUUUAUGGAGAGUUUGAUCCUGGCUCAGGAUGAACGCUGGCGGCGUGCCUAAUACAUGCAAGUCGAGCG
RNAcentral lists this ribosomal RNA (73 nucleotides) under Staphylococcus epidermidis. Its description in RNAcentral is "partial 16S ribosomal RNA". It matches the Rfam family "Bacterial small subunit ribosomal RNA", at positions 1 to 68 of the family's 1533-position model. The record is from RNAcentral. Lineage: Bacteria; Bacillati; Bacillota; Bacilli; Caryophanales; Staphylococcaceae.